RNAcentral lists this ribosomal RNA (440 nucleotides) under uncultured bacterium. Its description in RNAcentral is "partial 16S ribosomal RNA". It matches the Rfam family "Bacterial small subunit ribosomal RNA", at positions 338 to 795 of the family's 1533-position model. The record is from RNAcentral.
CCUACGGGCGGCAGCAGUGGGGAAUAUUGCACAAUGGGGGAAACCCUGAUGCAGCAACGCCGCGUGAGUGAAGAAGUAUUUCGGUAUGUAAAGCUCUAUUAGCAGGGAAGAAGAUGACGGUAUCUGAUUAAGAUGCCCCGGCUAACUACGUGCCAGCAGCCGCGGUAAUACGUAGGGGGCAAGCGUUAUCCGGAUUUAUUGGGUGUAAAGGGAGCGCAGACGGGAGGACACGUCUGGAGUGAAAGCCCGGGGCCCAACCCCGGAACUGCUCGUGAAACUGUGCGGCUAGAGUACUGGAGGGGCAGGCGGAAUUCCUAGGGUAGCGGUGAAAUGCGUAGAUAUUAGGAGGAACACCAGUGGCGAAGGCGGCCUGCUGGACAGUAACUGACGUUGAGGCGCGAAAGCGUGGGGAGCAAACAGGAUUAGAUACCCUAGUAGUC